CGUCUAUAUACGUAUAGCAUAUCAAUAAGCGGAGGAAAAGAAACUAACUAGGAUUCCCUCAGUAACGGCGAGUGAAGCGGGAAGAGCUCAAAUUUGAAAUCUUAAAGGGUUUCCCUUUACGAAUUGUAGUUUAAAGAAGUGUUUUCUGUUGGAGUUUCGGUAAAAGUUCUUUGGAAUAGGACAUCAUAGAGGGUGAGAAUCCCGUAUUUGACCGUUACUUUCCAGCUGCGUGAUACACUUUCAACGAGUCGGAUUGUUUGGGAAUGCAGUCCAAAAUGGGUGGUAAAUUUCAUCUAAAGCUAAAUAUUGGCGAGAGACCGAUAGCGAACAAGUACCGUGAGGGAAAGAUGAAAAGAACUUUGAAAAGAGAGUUAAACAGUACGUGAAAUUGUCAAAAGGGAAGCGUUUGACACCAGUGUUGUUUUUCCGAAAAUCAAUUACGAAUGUUUUGUUUUUGAGAAGUUAUGACUUCAUCGGCUUGCUUCUUUCUUUACGAAACUUUCUUAAUGCACUUUUCGGUUAACAAGUCAACAUCAAUUUCUUUUGUUGUAAAAGGGUAUGAGGAAGGUGGCUUUCUUUUCGGAGAAAGUGUUUAUAGCCUUGUACCUCUGCAAUCGGAGAGAUUGAGGUCUGCAGCGUAGAUCCUUCAGGGUUAGAUACAUUUGUGCUAAGUUAUAGCCUUUCAUAGACAACUUGUUGACUAUGUUAAGUCUUGUAGCCUACUCGCUUAUGCUAUUUUACCUACGCUUAGGAUGUUGAUAUGCAUGACUGAUA
Molecule: ribosomal RNA, 774 nt
Filed under: uncultured Neocallimastigales
Lineage: Eukaryota; Fungi; Neocallimastigomycota; Neocallimastigomycetes; Neocallimastigales
Description: partial large subunit ribosomal RNA
Rfam family: Eukaryotic large subunit ribosomal RNA
Source: RNAcentral